Molecule: ribosomal RNA, 497 nt
Filed under: uncultured bacterium
Lineage: Bacteria
Description: partial 16S ribosomal RNA
Rfam family: Bacterial small subunit ribosomal RNA
Source: RNAcentral
GAUGAACGCUGGCGGCGUGCCUAAUACAUGCAAGUCGAGCGAACGGACGAGAAGCUUGCUUCUCUGAUGUUAGCGGCGGACGGGGGAGUAACACGUGGAUAACCUACCUAUAAGACUGGGGUAACUUCGGGAAACCGGAGCUAAUACCGGCUGAUAUUUUGAACCGCAUGGUUCAAAAGUGACAGACGGUCUUGCUGUCACUUAUAGAUGGAUCCGCGCUGCAUUAGCUAGUUGGUAAGGUAACGGCUUACCAAGGCAACGAUGCAUAGCCGACCUGAGAGGGUGAUCGGCCACACUGGAACUGAGACACGGUCCAGACUCCUACGGGAGGCAGCAGUAGGGAAUCUUCCGCAAUGGGCGAAAGCCUGACGGAGCAACGCCGCGUGAGUGAUGAAGGUCUUCGGAUCGUAAAACUCUGUUAUUAGGGAAGAACAUAUGUGUAAGUAACUGUGCACAUCUUGACGGUACCUAAUCAGAAAGCCACGGCUAACUACGUG